UACGGAGGAUGCGAGCGUUAUCCGGAUUUAUUGGGUUUAAAGGGUGCGUAGGCGGGCUGUUAAGUCAGCGGUCAAAUGUCGGGGCUCAACCCCGGCCUGCCGUUGAAACUGGCGGUCUUGAGUGAGCGAGAAGUAUGCGGAAUGCGUGGUGUAGCGGUGAAAUGCAUAGAUAUCACGCAGAACUCCGAUUGCGAAGGCAGCAUACCGGCGCUCAACUGACGCUGAGGCACGAAAGCGUGGGGAUCGAACAGG
This 252-nucleotide ribosomal RNA is filed under the name uncultured bacterium. RNAcentral describes it as "partial 16S ribosomal RNA". It matches the Rfam family "Bacterial small subunit ribosomal RNA", at positions 524 to 776 of the family's 1533-position model. The record is from RNAcentral.